Saccostrea cuccullata (small rock oyster) is the source of this 722-nucleotide long non-coding RNA. RefSeq lists it as uncharacterized. The record is from RefSeq and is a predicted model, not a curated record. NCBI's taxonomy places the organism in Eukaryota, Metazoa, Mollusca, Bivalvia, Ostreida, Ostreidae. The transcript is spliced from 4 exons.
AAAAUAAUUCUCUUUUUAAUGUGUCGUUUGUCUGCAUUCGGCUUCAGCCAAGCGCUUGCACUCGGUGACACGGAAUGUUGUUUACAUCUAAAAACGUGGCGACAUCAGCUGAGAUUUGCAGUGGAUUUAAAUGCAAUAACCACACAAUCUUUAAAGAAAAUAGGGUUAAAAUAAGAGACAAGGCAUUCCUUCUUCUUUUUACAAGGAUAUGAGGGCAUUAUUUCGGAAAAUAGCAGAAAACUGAGACGAUUUGCACCAGCUCUACCUCCGUAGAUCAAUCACUGCACUGUAAUUCGAGGCCAGCUGUCCAGAGUUUCAGGCUUAAACGGUGAAAAAAUAAAAAAUGCAUCAUUUCUCCAAAUGGCAUAGCUCUUCCCAGAUGUUGGACAAAUGGAUUCAUUCAGGCAGCAAAUUAAUCCAUCAUUUAAGGAAAAUGAAUUCAUUUUAUCCACAAGAACAUGAGGUGAUGGAAAUAAUUUGCACCUGCUCAGCAUUCCUACAGUCUGUCAUUGGAUUUGAAAAGAAAUGUUUAUUAAUAAAUUUUCUAGAAGAAUAAUAAUUUGACUUUUUCAUACAUUUACUGUACAGGUGUUGAAAAGGCCAUUAAGAUACGAAAAUCUUAACUUUCUUACUAUUUUGUGUGGAGGGUACUCAUGAUCAUCAAGAUCUUAUUUCCAGCAUGUGCAUUGUGUUCAUUUAUCUUUCAAUAAUAUUACCAAAAA